RNAcentral lists this ribosomal RNA (253 nucleotides) under uncultured bacterium. RNAcentral describes it as "partial 16S ribosomal RNA". It matches the Rfam family "Bacterial small subunit ribosomal RNA", at positions 524 to 776 of the family's 1533-position model. The record is from RNAcentral.
UACGGAGGGUGCGAGCGUUAUCCGGAAUCACUGGGUUUAAAGGGUGCGUAGGCGGGAGAAUAAGUCAGAGGUGAAAGCUCAUCGCUCAACGAUGGAAUUGCCUUUGAUACUGUUUUUCUUGAAAUAUGAUGAGGUUGGCGGAAUGAGACAUGUAGCGGUGAAAUGCAUAGAUAUGUCUUAGAACACCGAUUGCGAAGGCAGCUGACUGGACAUUAUUUGACGCUGAGGCACGAAAGCGUGGGGAUCAAACAGG